RNAcentral lists this ribosomal RNA (447 nucleotides) under uncultured bacterium. RNAcentral describes it as "bacterial SSU rRNA". It matches the Rfam family "Bacterial small subunit ribosomal RNA", at positions 355 to 825 of the family's 1533-position model. The record is from RNAcentral.
UCGGGAAUAUUGGACAAUGGGCGCAAGCCUGAUCCAGCCAUGCCGCGUGGAUGAUGAAGGCCCUAGGGUUGUAAAGUCCUUUUAACGGGGAAGAUAAUGACGGUACCCGUAGAAUAAGCCCCGGCUAACUUCGUGCCAGCAGCCGCGGUAAUACGAAGGGGGCUAGCGUUGCUCGGAAUUACUGGGCGUAAAGCGCACGUAGGCGGAUUGUUAAGUCGGGGGUGAAAUCCUGGAGCUCAACUCCAGAACUGCCUUCGAAACUGGCGAUCUUGAGUUCGGGAGAGGUGAGUGGAACUGCGAGUGUAGAGGUGAAAUUCGUAGAUAUUCGCAAGAACACCAGUGGCGAAGGCGGCUCACUGGCCCGAUACUGACGCUGAGGUGCGAAAGCGUGGGGAGCAAACAGGAUUAGAUACCCGGGUAGUCCCUGAGCGGGCUGGCAAGGCGCAU